GUCACAUUUCCACUGGGUGAGGGUUCCAUCUUGGAAAGGGAACCUGUGUUUUUGCCAGAAGAGCUGGCAGAACUCACUCCGGUGGAGCCAAUAUGUGGGAUUACUCGCAAACCUGACCCAAACUGCAUCAUUAGAAGUAAAAGCAGCUGCCGUUUUAAGCUACGUGGUUACAUGGGAAUAGUGCUGUUCAAAUUGAGCCAUGUGCUACAGCAAUUAAUGUUAAUGGGAAACCGCACAGCAGGUAAGCAAGAUGGCACCUUUCGAUGGGAGAGAAGCUAACACCAGCCCAGAACAAGACUGUGAUCUAAAAGAGCAUGCCUCCAAGAGACAACAGCCAACAGAACAAAACAAGAUACAAUAAGACAAAGUUCUCCUAUCAAAACUGGACCAGGCUACCCAACAGGAAGAAUAGAUUCUCAAGAGUAGGCAAAAGAGUCAGAGACAUACCUGAUCCCAUUGGUCAGCAGAUUCUCCAUGGUAACCUCUCCUGUCACCCUAACUGAGGAAGCAGCUCUGAAUUCACUGGUACUGUCUUGAUUGUAGGGUGUUUGACUAUCCUCCUUCUCAGCUGGGUGGAGUUAAAAUGCCAUCAGUGGCCAGCUUCCAGAAGAGCCGCCCACACAGGAAAGACAUCAGCCCCUCCAAGACCCCAACCCCAGG
Long non-coding RNA from Mesocricetus auratus (golden hamster), 660 nucleotides. RefSeq lists it as uncharacterized. NCBI's taxonomy places the organism in Eukaryota, Metazoa, Chordata, Mammalia, Rodentia, Cricetidae. The record is from RefSeq and is a predicted model, not a curated record. The transcript has 5 exons.